Molecule: long non-coding RNA, 911 nt
Organism: Nematostella vectensis (starlet sea anemone)
Lineage: Eukaryota; Metazoa; Cnidaria; Anthozoa; Actiniaria; Edwardsiidae
Exons: 2
Source: RefSeq, a predicted model, not a curated record
AACAAAGGAAUGGGAGGAGUAAAGUAACAAAGGAAUGGCAGGAGUAAAGUAACAAAGGAAUGGGAGGAGUAAAGUAACAAAGGAAUGGGAGGAGUAAAGUAACAAAGGAAUGGGAGGAGUAAAGUAACAAAGGAAUGGGAGGAGUAAAGUAACAAAGGAAUGGGAGGAGUAAAGUAGCAAAGGAAUGGGAGGAGUGAAGUAACAAAGGAAUGGGAGAAGUAAAGUAACAAAGGAAUGGGAGGAGUAAAGUAACAAAGGAAUGGGAGGAGUAAAGGACAAAGGAAUGGGAGGAGUAAAGUGAAUGGGAGGAGUAAAGUAACAAAGGAAUGGGAGGAGUAAAGUAACAAAGGAAUGGGAGGAGUAAAGUAACAAAGGAAUGGGAGGAGUAAAGUAACAAAGGAAUGGCAGAAGUAAUGUAACAAAGGAAUGGGAGAAGUAAAGUAACAAAAUAAUAGAAGGAGUAAAGUAGCGAAGGAAUAGUAGGAGUAAAGUAACAAAGGAAUAAGAGAAGUAAAGUAACAAAGGAAUGGCUGCAGUAAAGUAACAAAGGAAUGGAAGGAGUAAAGUAACAAAGGAAUGGGAGAAGUAAAGUAACAAAAGAAUGGCAGAAGUAAAGUAACAAAGGAAUGGCUGCAGUAAAGUAACAAAGGAAUGGAAGGAGUAAAGUAACAAAGGAAUGGGAGAAGUAAAGUAACAAAAGAAUGGCAAAAGUAAAGUAACAAAGGAAUGGCAGGAGUAAAGUAACAAAGGAAUGGAAGGAGUAAAGUAACAAAGGAAUGGGAGAAGUAAAGUAACAAAAGAAUGGCAGAAGUAAGGUAACAAAGGAAUGGAAGGAGUAAAGUAACAAAGGAAUGGAAGGAGUAAAGUAACAAAGGAAUGGGAGAAGUAAAGUAACAAAGUAAUGGCAGGAG